This 253-nucleotide ribosomal RNA is filed under the name uncultured bacterium. RNAcentral's name for it is "partial 16S ribosomal RNA". It matches the Rfam family "Bacterial small subunit ribosomal RNA", at positions 524 to 776 of the family's 1533-position model. The record is from RNAcentral.
UACGUAGGGGGCGAGCGUUUUCCGGAAUUACUGGGUGUAAAGGGCGUGUAGGCGGGACUGUAAGUCAGAUGUGAAAUUCCCCGGCUCAACUGGGGAGCUGCAUCUGAAACUAUGGUUCUUGAGUGCUGGAGAGGGAAGCGGAAUUCCAAGUGUAGCGGUGAAAUGCGUAGAUAUUUGGAGGAACACCAGUGGCGAAGGCGGCUUUCUGGACAGUAACUGACGCUGAGGCGCGAAAGCGUGGGGAGCAAACAGG